RNAcentral lists this ribosomal RNA (430 nucleotides) under Escherichia coli. Its description in RNAcentral is "bacterial SSU rRNA". It matches the Rfam family "Archaeal small subunit ribosomal RNA", at positions 316 to 748 of the family's 1478-position model. The record is from RNAcentral. Lineage: Bacteria; Pseudomonadati; Pseudomonadota; Gammaproteobacteria; Enterobacterales; Enterobacteriaceae.
CGAUGCCCUACGGGUGGCAGCAGGGGCGAAACCUCCACAAUGCACGCAAGUGCGAUGGGGUUACCUCGAGUGCCGCCUGAAGAAGGCGGCUUUUCCGUGGUGUAAUGAGCCGCGGGAAUAAGGGGGGGGCAAGACUGGUGUCAGCCGCCGCGGUAACACCAGCCCCCCGAGUGGUGGGGAUGAUUAUUUGGCCUAAAGCGUCCGUAGCCGGCCCGGUAAAUCUCUCGUUAAAUCCAGCGUCCUAAGCGUUGGGCUGCGAGGGAGACUGCCGGGCUAGAGGGUGGGAGAGGUCAGCGGUAUUCCUGGGGUAGGGGCGAAAUCCGUUGAUCCCAGGAGGACCACCAGUGGCGAAGGCUGCUGACUAGGACACGCCUGACGGUCAGGGACGAAAGCUGGGGUAGCGAAUCGGAUUAGAUACCCUAGUAGUCCC